GUUUUGCUUUCAAGAAUUUGGGGUACAGUUGCCCCAAAACCCCUGCACCGAUCUUCUUGAAACUUGGCAGGCUUUGUGGACUCAGCAAGAGCUACCACCCCUGCAGUUUUCACCAUGCUAUGUUGUAAUGCCUAGAUGUGACAUGAGUUUGGCUUUCAAGAAUUUGGGGUGCUGUUCUCCCCAAACCCUUGCACCAAUUAUCUUGAAACUUGGCAGGCUUCAUCCUCUCUGCAGAGUUUAUCACAUCUAAAAAUGUCAUCCAAAUCGGACAAAAAACAACAAAGUUAUAGAUAUUUUAUUGUUUCCCCAUUGUACCCUACUGCCGGAUCUCCAAGGCGGCUCCGAAGCUCUUCCGAAGCUCUGAACAGCUUCGAGGCCAGCACUUCAGCACGGAUGUGCUGCUUCGGAUCCCGAAGUGUCCGAAGCUUCUCCAGAUCCGAAGCUCUGUCCGAAGCCUUGCACAGCCCUAAAGGUUAGCUUGAAAAGUUCUUCCUCUCUUUUAUUUUUAAUUCCAGUGACUUUGCGUGAAGAGUCCCUUCCCAGGGUGUCACCUUCAAGUGCUCAGGUUCCCCGGCAAUGAGCCACAGAAGGACUGAGGGGUGGGUGGGUGGUGACCGUGUUCCAUAGAAUUUGCCAUGAAAGGGACUUCCCAGGUGAGAUGGAAGUUUCCCAAUCCCUCGAGAGAGCUUCUUGGAACAACUGCAUAAAGCAAUUGCAUCAGAGAGAGCAAAGAAAAAUAGCCACCCUUCUGGACCAGUACACAUGGGAAGCUGACUGGCUGAGCCUGAGCUGCUGACUCAGCUUUGAUUGCACUAACAUACAUGAGCCUGAGCUCUGGAGUCACAUUCCAGAAGUUGUGCAUGCCUCUGACGGAGAUAAAGGUAAUUUUGAAUCAUCCUUCUCCACAUUCAGAUGUAUCUUAAAGGGAAUGGAAAAGGAAGGGCUCUACGACUUGUCCUGCUCUUUCUAUUAAAGAGCAAAUAAGAGGAGGAUUGGGUGUUAUACUGGACCAGGGAAAAGGUUUUAGAGUCAUCAUUCAUUCCUAGCUAACAUAGAGAGGAGAAGCCGCCCCCCUCCCCCAUGGUGUGGGCAUUGGUGCAAGUGGCUGGAAGCCCAGCAUUUGAGAGUUCAAGGCUAUAACAGAGAUCUGACACUACCUUCAGCUCUCCUAUGAAAUAUUAAUUUUCAUUUCCACCUAGGAGAAAUUUUACAAUCUUUGCACUCUCCUAUGCCUGAGGAGAAUGGUGAGUAUGCCUGAAAGCUUGCAAAUAAAGAGGGUUUUUUUUGCAAAUAUCUAGUUGAUUUAAUAAAAGUUAUCACCUCAGGCCAUAACAGAAGUGCUCAUGGUGUGACCACAUCAGAUCGCGAUGAAUCUGUGACUUCUACUAAAUGCCCUGUCAUAUGAACAUGAGAAAGAAAAGGGCUGGGGAAGGAUGUUUGAAAAGGACAGUGGGGUUGCGAUGUGCUUUGCUCUCCAGCUCAAGCAAUCCUGGUGAUAGCCAGAGGAGGGAAUAUCAUCCACCUGCACUUGGUAUUCUAGGGAGGCAUCCUGCCAUCUCGGUGCACAAUGGGAGGUGGGGGUGCAUUCUGGGACCACAAUCUCAUUCUGUAAAUAACAUCCCAGAGAUCCUUGGUGUGGUAUAAAAGUCAGGGACAGGAAAGGAAAGCACAGAGAUAAAGGGCACAGGUUUUUUCCCCCAGCUUUGCUGCUCCCACAACAUAAGUUCCAGGAUAAAUUACUAAACUCUUGUUUUCUACAGUUUCCUCCUUCGCAGAACAGACAUGAUAAAACUCGCCUGUCUCCUGGAGUGUGGUGAGGUGAAAUCACUAAUGCUUUUAACAUGUCAAAACCUAAGAUCUGCAGAUGGAAGGUACCAAAAAAAGUAUACAAUGUCUUUAUUUUGAAUAUUAUUACUAAUUGAGAUAGUAAAUCAGGUUCUUGCCUCUACAAGAGCAGGGGUAUUCUAUACCAUGGAGUCACAGCUGUCAGUGAAUGACACUCUUUUCUUUGUUUGGUUACAGACAGUCACGUUCUCAACCAAACCAAUGAACUGGAAAGCCAGGCUGAGACCACCAGCUCCCUGCAGAUGCUGGGAUCCAAUGGCUGCACAGGAGCUCUCCAACUUUGUUGAUUUCUUUAUUGACAUGGGUGUAUGAGACAGCCUCCAACAUAUCAUGGAAGAUGCAACCCAGAAAAUAAAGGAGGUAAUGUUGGAGGUGAGGGCUGUUGGCCUGAUUUCUGUGAAACUGAGCAUAAUCAUUUUAUCUGGGGGCAUUAUCCUUCCACAUCCAGCUAAGAAGGAGACUGGACAGAAUACCUAAAAACCAGGGUCAUUUGUGUGUGUGAUUUUGAGGCUCAAGACUGUAACUGUGCAUGAAACAAAUCUCACACACAACUCCCACCAUCUCGAAAGGUGAGCCUGGUGGAUGGAGGCAGAAGGAAGUCUUCACCUGUUCUGCUGGACGGAGAAGGAAUGUCUCCAGAGCUUGCACAGCAAUCCCUGUUAUCUCAAAGGGCUAUGGCAUCAGCAAGGUGCCAUGAAGACCUCACCCAUUCUUCCCAAAAUGUGAAGUUGUAUCUGCUUAAAAUAGAACAAAUAGAUUUCUA
Alligator mississippiensis (American alligator) is the source of this 2608-nucleotide long non-coding RNA. RefSeq lists it as uncharacterized. The record is from RefSeq and is a predicted model, not a curated record. Lineage: Eukaryota; Metazoa; Chordata; Crocodylia; Alligatoridae. The transcript is spliced from 2 exons.